Molecule: ribosomal RNA, 307 nt
Filed under: uncultured bacterium
Lineage: Bacteria
Description: bacterial SSU rRNA
Rfam family: Bacterial small subunit ribosomal RNA
Source: RNAcentral
GACGAACGCUGGCGGCGUGCUUAACACAUGCAAGUCGAACGGAGUUAAGGAGCUUGCUCCUUAACUUAGUGGCGAACGGGUGAGUAACGCGUGAGGAACCUGCCUUUCAGUGGGGGACAACAGUUGGAAACGACUGCUAAUACCGCAUGAUACUAUUGAGUGGCAUCGCUUGAUAGUUAAAGAUUUAUUGCUGAAAGAUGGCCUCGCGUCUGAUUAGCUAGUUGGUGGGGUAACGGCUCACCAAGGCGACGAUCAGUAGCCGGACUGAGAGGAUGAUCAGCCACACUGGGACUGAGACACGGCCCAG